GUUUUUGUUUUGUUUUUUUGUGGGAUUUGAAUUUCAAACCCAUAAUUAAACUUCCUCAGGGUUUCUCCUUAGAGGACACUUUGGCAUCAAGCCAACAGGCAACCUAGAAGAGAGGAGGAGGAGGAAGAGGAUGGAGGACGAAAAGAGUAGGAAGGUGGCGGCAAAAUGACAUAGGAUCGUUCAUCUGGCUCCUGGUGACAUUGUCAACACAGGAAGGAAUCUUAGUUGCGGAGCAGCUGUCUGUACACACUGAGACAAGAAAUUCCUGCAUUACCACAAGGAUGUUUAUGAAGGCUGCUUGUCAGACUGAACCACGCUAAUGGAAUACAAGGUUGAUGCUGAAUAUUCCACGAAAGCUGCUACCUCUGCUUACUCAGACCUUUCCAACUUUUUGUCAUAUACGUUGCUUUUGCUUGGAGAAAGAGAUAGGAACAGAGAAAAAAAAACUCCUCUUCACCAUUUGCGGACCAAAGGUAGAGAGAACAAAUCCACACCAGCAAACCAAGCCCAGUUUGGGAACCAGCGCUAUGCGUGGGUCACUGCCAGACUGGAACAGACAGACCUCAGCCCCUUCUAGCAAACAGGCUGACAAACAAGAAUUACUCCCCCCAUCCCACUCAUAAAUCCUGGAAAUGACUUCGUAGUGACAGAGGAAUCAACCUGUGAGUCAGUGGACGUGUGCCAAGGAGAGUGAGUGAGUCAUCAUCACCAUGGAUCCUUUGUGGAGGAAGGAAAAUUUCACGAUCAUUUACAUGUAACAUUCCCUGUGUAUUAGUUUAUGAACUUUUUUUCUGGCAAAAAUAGCUAAAAAUGGAAGCAAAAGAAUGAGACAAUCAUAAUGGGUGAGAUGUGAGGAUAGAAAACAGAAGAUCUAUCCAGGUAGAUACUGCUCAGAGUGGCUGUGAGAAGGGAUACAAGGCCAGCGUGCUCAGUGUUGGUUCCUGAGUACUGGGCAAGGAAGGAGAUAAAGGGCAAGAUCAUAAAAGAGAAUACAAUUUGCUUUUUUGUAGCAUUGGAUUAAGCAAAUAUUGUUUCUCUUACUAACACCCUUCUCUUCAGCUCACAACCCCCAUCUCCAUCUCCACCUAGCUGCAGUUUGGCUGUCUUUUCCUUCAGUGUUUUGAAGUCUCCAUAGCAUCCACCACAAAAUAUUUUCUCUAGCAAAGGUGUUCAGAAACACAGAACUUAGACAGUCUUAGGCUUUGAAAGAGAAAUACUGAACUAGGUAGUCAUUGUUGUGUUACCAAAUGUCAGUGGAUUUCAAAGAGAAAAGCAGAUGUCUCAGGUAUGGAAGCAGUGGCACUUUCAGAAAAAGCAUCAGCAGGAAUCUUCAGCUCUUUCAUGCUGAACUUUCUCCCUUCCCCAAAUAUCCUUCAUCACUCGUAUUUUGAAUACCAUGAAAUUGAAAUCAUUUAUUCCAAUUAAAGCAAAUGAUCAGAGUAUCUGACAAAGAAGGGACUGACUGCAGGCAGGGAUAUCUAUUUCUAUUUAUGGGAUUCUGAAUUUUGUAGAAUGACUGAAGGUAUGUUCAUGCCUGUGGUCAGUGGCUCAACUCUUUCAUUUCGAGUGAAGGUCAUUGUUAAUGAACUCUGCCCUACCUUUCUCAGAGCAGGAUACUGCUUUUCAUCUCAUUACUUCUGAUUUUAUAAGGUAUGCUUUUUAUUUGUUGAACUCCUGUGUAGCCUGCAUAUGUGUGUAUGUGUUUCAUUUUUACAUUUAUUAUAGAAAUGUUUCUAUUAUCUACCAAACCAUAAUUUUCUCAACAAUACUAUAAUGAAAAUAUUGCCCAUUUGAAUUUGUGUUAUUUUCUAUUGCUAUUGAAAUAAAUUAUCACUAAUAUAAUGAUAAAACAAGUGUCAUCUUAUGGUUGUGGAGGUCAGAUGUCUGAAUUAAAAUCUUGAAUGUGAGCGGGAUUACAUGGUUUGUGAGAGAUGUUCGACCAUUUCUUUGCCUUUUCCAGCUUCUGGAAGCCAAAUGUAUUCCUUAGCAUGUGGCCUUUUUUUUUUUUUUUCAUUUUCAAGUCAGCAGUACAG
This is a long non-coding RNA of Cavia porcellus (domestic guinea pig), 2033 nucleotides long. NCBI's taxonomy places the organism in Eukaryota, Metazoa, Chordata, Mammalia, Rodentia, Caviidae. The record is from Ensembl.